This 253-nucleotide ribosomal RNA is filed under the name uncultured bacterium. RNAcentral's name for it is "partial 16S ribosomal RNA". It matches the Rfam family "Bacterial small subunit ribosomal RNA", at positions 524 to 776 of the family's 1533-position model. The record is from RNAcentral.
UACGUAGGGGGCUAGCGUUGUCCGGAAUCAUUGGGCGUAAAGCGCGUGUAGGCGGUCCGGUAAGUCCGCUGUGAAAGUCGGGGGCUCAACCCUCGGAUGCCGGUGGAUACUGUCGGGCUUGAGUACGGAAGAGGCGAGUGGAAUUCCCGGUGUAGCGGUGAAAUGCGCAGAUAUCGGGAGGAACACCAAUGGCGAAGGCAGCUCGCUGGGACGGUACUGACGCUGAGGCGCGAAAGCGUGGGGAGCAAACAGG